Long non-coding RNA from Eucalyptus grandis, 442 nucleotides. RefSeq lists it as uncharacterized. Lineage: Eukaryota; Viridiplantae; Streptophyta; Magnoliopsida; Myrtales; Myrtaceae. The record is from RefSeq and is a predicted model, not a curated record. The transcript has 3 exons.
AAUAGCCCCUGAUCAAAGGGAGAAAUUUUUACAGCGUUUUCAUCAAAUGCAGCAACAAGGUCACAGCAUCUUUUUGGGCAUGCCUCCCUUGGCUGGAGGAAAUCAGAAGCAGUUUUCUGCACAACAGCAAGCCCCCCCCCUUGCAGCAGUUCAAUUCUCAAAGCUCAUCGAUCUCUCCUCAAGUCAGUAUAGGGCUAGGAUCACAAAUGCCAGGUCUUAACAAUGUAUCUGGCUUGGCUCUGCAACAACAACUGGGUUCCAUCCAUCAACGGUUCAGUCAGCAAUAUUUUGCUCUUUCAGGUCCAAGAGAUUCCGCUACAUAGCUCUUAUUUGCAACAAUACAGAGUACCAUCAAAUAUUGGGAUCAGCUUGACUCAGAAUUAGAGUUUCUGAAUCAUUUAAGACAUAAGUUGGCAAGGGGAAAAUUCAGGAGCAGCUGGGG